UGUAUAUGCAAAGAUGUUGCCGCAUUUGUCAGGGUUUGGUAGUUAUAAGGCACUUGGGGCAGAGCCGUUUUACAGGAUGUGACGUACAGGCGUAGAGGCAGCUCUGCGUAGUGUGCGUCGCUCAGUCUUGUUUUGCUUUCGACGACAUCAAGCUCGCUCUGGCAGUGGCGGCGCCAAGGGCGGGCCACGGCCACCCUGAUACAAUCGCUGGCCUCCUCACUUGUCCCAGUAAGCCAUGACAGAGUGAGUCAGCCAACAUGCAGAAUACCAGGACCCUGAGCAGUGCGUGUUGUGUCUUUCUACAAGGUUGCUGGACGACUCACAGGGCUGCCCGUCUCUGACACGAGGAAAACCUGUAGUGUAGCCCUCAAGUGCCGUCUCCUCAGCAUCGUCCUCCUCCCAGUCUUCAUCAUCUCCGUCCUCUCCUGCGUGCUUCGCCAGCAUCUCCAGGUACUCCUGGCCAUCUUCAUCGAUGUCAUC
Long non-coding RNA from Siniperca chuatsi (mandarin fish), 480 nucleotides. RefSeq lists it as uncharacterized. NCBI's taxonomy places the organism in Eukaryota, Metazoa, Chordata, Actinopteri, Centrarchiformes, Sinipercidae. The record is from RefSeq and is a predicted model, not a curated record. The transcript is spliced from 4 exons.